Molecule: long non-coding RNA, 453 nt
Organism: Pantherophis guttatus
Lineage: Eukaryota; Metazoa; Chordata; Lepidosauria; Squamata; Colubridae
Source: RefSeq, a predicted model, not a curated record
UACUCAUGAAUGGCUGGGCAUAAAACAACUUACAGUUGUCAUGCAACUAGUCAACCCUCAGUCAUGGAAACUCACAGGAUGAAUUUAGGUUGGAGAAAACUGCAUGUAAAGCCUUCUUCAAUGAAAGAAACAAGAAAUUCAGAGAGAAAAAAAUAUACACAGCUGAAAUAUACUGUAUGCAUUUGAUAGUAUUCUAAUACAUAAUUCAUAUUUGCUGAGUCUUGAUCCAACUGAAGUUAGAGGUCUUUUUCAUAAAGACCCACUCUCAAUGUGGGAUGAGACAAGUCUCUGUUCAUUCCAUGAUGUCAUGAGAAGGAACUUGUAAUUUUGAUACCUGACUAUACCAUUAACAUUGCAUCUAUGAAAGGGGCAAUGCUAUUUCAAGACAGUAAAUACUACUUUACAAUGUAUUUGUCUUAUAUUCUAAUUAAAUGUAAUUCUCGGCUUACUCUA